Molecule: ribosomal RNA, 507 nt
Filed under: uncultured Propionibacterium sp.
Lineage: Bacteria; Bacillati; Actinomycetota; Actinomycetes; Propionibacteriales; Propionibacteriaceae
Description: bacterial SSU rRNA
Rfam family: Bacterial small subunit ribosomal RNA
Source: RNAcentral
AGAGUUUGAUCCUGGCUCAGGACGAACGCUGGCGGCGUGCUUAACACAUGCAAGUCGAACGGAAAGGCCCUGCUUUUGUGGGGUGCUCUAGUGGCGAACGGGUGAGUAACACGUGAGUAACCUGCCCUUGACUUUGGGAUAACUUCAGGAAACUGGGGCUAAUACCGGAUAGGAGCUCCUGCUGCACGGUGGGGGUUGGAAAGUUUCGGCGGUUGGGGAUGGACUCGCGGCUUAUCAGCUUGUUGGUGGGGUAGUGGCUUACCAAGGCUUUGACGGGUAGCCGGCCUGAGAGGGUGACCGGCCACAUUGGGACUGAGAUACGGCCCAGACUCCUACGGGAGGCAGCAGUGGGGAAUAUUGCACAAUGGGCGGAAGCCUGAUGCAGCAACGCCGCGUGCGGGAUGACGGCCUUCGGGUUGUAAACCGCUUUCGCCUGUGACGAAGCGUGAGUGACGGUAAUGGGUAAAGAAGCACCGGCUAACUACGUGCCAGCAGCCGCGGUAAUAC